GGCCCAAGUUUGAAGUAGAGUAGAUUAGAGGAUCAUCUGACCCUACUAAUUUACACUACUUCGAGUUUGUGCCC
Non-coding RNA from Haemonchus placei, 74 nucleotides. NCBI's taxonomy places the organism in Eukaryota, Metazoa, Nematoda, Chromadorea, Rhabditida, Trichostrongylidae. The record is from Rfam.